UCGGAGGAAAAGAAACCAACAGGGAUUGCCUUAGUAGCGGCGAGUGAAGCGGCAAAAGCUCAAAUUUGAAAUCUGGCUCUUUCAGAGUCCGAGUUGUAAUUUGAAGAAGGUAUCUUUGGGUCUGGCUCUUGUCUAUGUUUCUUGGAACAGAACGUCACAGAGGGUGAGAAUCCCGUGCGAUGAGAUGAUCCAGGCCUAUGUAAAGUUCCUUCGAAGAGUCGAGUUGUUUGGGAAUGCAGCUCUAAGUGGGUGGUAAAUUCCAUCUAAAGCUAAAUAUUGGCGAGAGACCGAUAGCGAACAAGUACAGUGAUGGAAAGAUGAAAAGAACUUUGAAAAGAGAGUGAAAAAGUACGUGAAAUUGUUGAAAGGGAAGGGCUUGAGAUCAGACUUGGUAUUUUGUAUGUUACUUCUUCGGGGGUGGCCUCUACAGUUUAUCGGGCCAGCAUCAGUUUGGGCGGUAGGAGAAUUGCGUUGGAAUGUGGCACGGCUUUGGUUGUGUGUUAUAGCCUUCGUCGAUACUGCCAGCCUAGACUGACGACUGCGGUUUAUACCUAGGAUGUUGUCCUAGUGGUCUUCUUUCCCCCCUCU
RNAcentral lists this ribosomal RNA (588 nucleotides) under Candida tropicalis. RNAcentral describes it as "partial large subunit ribosomal RNA". It matches the Rfam family "Eukaryotic large subunit ribosomal RNA", at positions 50 to 654 of the family's 3401-position model. Lineage: Eukaryota; Fungi; Ascomycota; Pichiomycetes; Serinales; Debaryomycetaceae. The record is from RNAcentral.